This 115-nucleotide ribosomal RNA is filed under the name Zingiber officinale. Lineage: Eukaryota; Viridiplantae; Streptophyta; Magnoliopsida; Zingiberales; Zingiberaceae. The record is from RNAcentral.
AUUUUGUUUCUCAACAUUAAUGCAUCAAAUCUCAUCAUAACUCUGAAGUUAAGCGUGCUUGGGUGAGAGUAGUACUACGAUGGGCGACCCCCCGGGAAGUCCUUGUGUUGCACCU